AUGGAAUUGAGGAUCCUUUCCCCAAAUGAUCGAGUAUGAUUAUACUAUGCGCAUGUGUAAUCCUAUUCACUUGAUUUUGUUUCUU
Molecule: small nucleolar RNA, 85 nt
Filed under: Triticum aestivum (bread wheat)
Lineage: Eukaryota; Viridiplantae; Streptophyta; Magnoliopsida; Poales; Poaceae
Also listed under: 1 other name
Description: Small nucleolar RNA Z103
Rfam family: Small nucleolar RNA Z103
About the family: This family consists of several snoRNA Z103 sequences which are members of the C/D class of snoRNA which contain the C (UGAUGA) and D (CUGA) box motifs. This family seems to be found exclusively in plants.
Source: Rfam by way of RNAcentral